Molecule: ribosomal RNA, 403 nt
Filed under: uncultured bacterium
Lineage: Bacteria
Description: partial 16S ribosomal RNA
Rfam family: Bacterial small subunit ribosomal RNA
Source: RNAcentral
AUUGAACGCUGGCGGCAGGCCUAACACAUGCAAGUCGAGCGAGCGGCGGACGGGAGAGUAAUGUAUGGGGACUGCCCGAUAGAGGGGGAUAACUACUGGAAACGGUGGCUAAUACCGCAUACUAUCGGAUAACCCAUAUGGGAUUAGCUAGUAGGUGAGGUAACGGCUCACCUAGGCGACGAUCCCUAGCUGGUCUGAGAGGAUGAUCAGCCAAACUGGAACUGAGACACGGCCCCGACUCCUACGGAGGCAGCAGUGGGGAAUAUUGCACAAUGGGCGCAAGCCUGAUGCAGCCAUGCCGCGUGUAUGAAGAAGGCCUUCGGGUUGUAAAGUACUUUCAGUCGGGAGGCGUUGCCGACAAAAGAAGGACUGGCUAACUCCGGGCCAGCAGCCGCGGUAAUUC